GGGUUGUGAGGUUAAGCGACUAAGCGUACACGGUGGAUGCCCUGGCAGUCAGAGGCGAUGAAGGGCGUGCUAAUCUGCGAUAAGCGCCGGUAAGGUGAUAUGAACCGUUAUAACCGGCGAUACCCGAAUGGGGAAACCCAGUGUGAUUCGUCACACUAUCAUUAACUGAAUCCAUAGGUUAAUGAGGCGAACCGGGGGAACUGAAACAUCUAAGUACCCCGAGGAAAAGAAAUCAACCGAGAUUCCCCCAGUAGCGGCGAGCGAACGGGGAGGAGCCCAGAGCCUGAAUCAGCAUGUGUGUUAGUGGAAGCGUCUGGAAAGGCGCGCGAUACAGGGUGACAGCCCCGUACACAAAAGCGCACAUGCUGUGAGCUCGAUGAGUAGGGCGGGACACGUGGUAUCCUGUCUGAAUAUGGGGGGACCAUCCUCCAAGGCUAAAUACUCCUGACUGACCGAUAGUGAACCAGUACCGUGAGGGAAAGGCGAAAAGAACCCCGGCGAGGGGAGUGAAAAAGAACCUGAAACCGUGUACGUACAAGCAGUGGGAGCCCCACCACUAAGCCAGUGGUGAACUCCACAUACGCAUCCUUUGCUGAGGAUACGGUUAACGGAGCGAAAGCGACGUUCAACCUCAAAAGAAGCAGAGGGGGCUUAGUGGUGGGGUGACUGCGUACCUUUUGUAUAAUGGGUCAGCGACUUAUAUUCUGUAGCAAGGUUAACCGUAUAGGGGAGCCGCAGGGAAACCGAGUCUUAAUUGGGCGUUAAGUUGCAGGGUAUAGACCCGAAACCCGGUGAUCUAGCCAUGGGCAGGUUGAAGGUUGGGUAACACUAACUGGAGGACCGAACCGACUAAUGUUGAAAAAUUAGCGGAUGACCUGUGGCUGGGGGUGAAAGGCCAAUCAAACCGGGAGAUAGCUGGUUCUCCCCGAAAGCUAUUUAGGUAGCGCCUCGUGAACUCAUCUCCGGGGGUAGAGCACUGUUUCGGCUAGGGGGCCAUCCCGGCUUACCAACCCGAUGCAAACUGCGAAUACCGGAGAAUGUUAUCACGGGAGACACACGGCGGGUGCUAACGUCCGUCGUGAAGAGGGAAACAACCCAGACCGCCAGCUAAGGUCCCAAAGUCAUGGUUAAGUGGGAAACGAUGUGGGAAGGCCCAGACAGCCAGGAUGUUGGCUUAGAAGCAGCCAUCAUUUAAAGAAAGCGUAAUAGCUCACUGGUCGAGUCGGCCUGCGCGGAAGAUGUAACGGGGCUAAACCAUGCACCGAAGCUGCGGCAGCGACGCUGAUGCGUUGUUGGGUAGGGGAGCGUUCUGUAAGCCGUUGAAGGUGGCCUGUGAGGGUUGCUGGAGGUAUCAGAAGUGCGAAUGCUGACAUAAGUAACGAUAAAGCGGGUGAAAAGCCCGCUCGCCGGAAGACCAA
Molecule: ribosomal RNA, 1418 nt
Filed under: Salmonella enterica
Lineage: Bacteria; Pseudomonadati; Pseudomonadota; Gammaproteobacteria; Enterobacterales; Enterobacteriaceae
Also listed under: 1 other name
Description: bacterial LSU rRNA
Rfam family: Bacterial large subunit ribosomal RNA
Source: RNAcentral